UCAAGCUAAUAAGAGCACAGGGUGGAUGCCCAGGCACCAAACGCCGAUGAAAGACGUGGCAAGCUGCGAAAAGUCACGGGGAACCGCAAGCAGGUAUUGAUCCGUGAACGUCUGAAUGGGGAAACCCGGCGGGUUAACAGCCCGUCACUAUUAACUGAAUCAAUAGGUUAAUAGAGGGAACGCGGGGAACUGAAACAUCUCAGUACCCGUAGGAAGAGAAAAUAAAGAAUGAUUUCCUAAGUAGCGGCGAGCGAACGGGAAAGAGGCCAAACCGAAGGGCUUGCUCUUCGGGGUUGUGGAUCAGCAAAAAGGACGGAAGACCUUAGCAGAAGAGGAUUGGAAAGUCCCGCCAGAGAGGGUAAAAGCCCCUUACGCGAAAAGGUCAAACGACGAGCUGACACCAGAGUACCGCAGGACACGAGAAAUCCGGUGGGAAGCCGGGAGGACCACCUCCCAAGCCUAAAUACGAAUUGGUGACCGAUAGCGCAUAGUACCGUGAGGGAAAGGUGAAAAGAACCCCGGGAGGGGAGUGAAAAAGAACCUGAAACCCUGUGUUUACAAGCAGUGAAAGUGCGAGCAAGGCACGAUCACGUACUUUUUGUAGAACGGACCGGCGAGUUACGUUAUGCAGCAAGGUUAAGAACUGAAGGUUCGGAGCCGAAGCGAAAGCGAGUCUGAAUAGGGCGAUAGUUGCAUGACGUAGACCCGAAACCGGGUGACCUAUCCAUGAGCAGGUUGAAGUGGAGGUAAAGCUCCAUGGAGGACCGAACCAGACGUCUGUUGAAAAAGGCGGGGAUGACUUGUGGAUAGGGGAGAAAUUCCAAUCGAACCCGGAGAUAGCUGGUUCUCCUCGAAAUAGCUUUAGGGCUAGCCUCAUGGAUCAUUGAUGGGGGUAGAGCACUGAAUGUGCGCGGGGGCCACAAAGCCUACCAAACGCUAUCAAACUUCGAAUACCAUACAAUGCAGACCAUGGGAGUCAGUCCGCGAGAGAUAAGUUCCGCGGGCAAAAGGGGAACACCCCAGAUCAACCGCUAAGGUCCCCAAGUUCACGUUAAGUGGAGAAGGAUGUGGAAUUGCACAGACAACCAGGAUGUUGGCUCAGAAGCAGCCACACAUUUAAAGAGUGCGUAAUAGCUCACUGGUCGAGUGAUUGUGCGCCGAAGAUGUCCGGGGCUAAACGUGACACCGAAGCGAUGGGUGCGUCUGAAAAAGAUGCGCGGUAGAGGAGCAAUGUGCAGAGGCAGAAGCCGUAUCGAGAGGCACGGUGGACACUGCACAAGAGAGAAUGCCGGUAUGAGUAGCGAGAGGCAUGCGAGAAACAUGCCCGUCGAAAGCCCAAGGUUUCCUGGGGAAGGUUCAUCCGCCCAGGGUAAGUCGGGGCCUAAGCCGAGGACGGAAGUCGUAGGCGAUGGACAGCAGGUGUAGAUUCCUGCACUACCGAUGGAAUGAAGCAGUGACACAGAAGGAUAACUCGAGCAGGGUGAUGGUCAACCCUGUGCAAGCAUCAAGGUUGGGUUGUAGUGAAGUACGCAAUCCUAUAAGCUGAGGUGUGAUGCGGACCGAAAUUUCAGUAGGGAAGCGAGUGAGUUCACGCUGGCGAGAAAAGCUGCUAGUACAUCCAAAGGUACCCGUACCGGAAACCGACGCAGGUGGGCGAGGAGAGAAUCCUGAGACGAACGGGAGAACCCUUGUUAAGGAACUCGGCAAAAUGACCCCGUAACUUCGGGAUAAGGGGUGCCUGCGAGAGCAGGCCGCAGAGAAUAGUCACAAGCGACUGUUUAGCAAAAACACAGGUAUCUGCGAAAGCGAAAGCUGACGUAUAGGUGCUGACACCUGCCCGGUGCUGGAAGGUUAAGGGAACAUGUUAGAGCAAUCGAAGCAUCGAACCGAAGCCCCAGUAAACGGCGGCCGUAACUAUAACGGUCCUAAGGUAGCGAAAUUCCUUGUCGGGUAAGUUCCGACCCGCACGAAAGGCGUAAUGAUUUGAGCACUGUCUCGACAAUGCACCCGGUGAAAUUGAAGUACCAGUGAAGAUGCUGGUUACCUGCGCCAGGACGGAAAGACCCCAUGGAGCUUUACUCCAGCUUGAUACUGGGAUUCGAUAUUGCAUGUACAGGAUAGGUGGGAGACUAAGAAGCGGUGACGCCAGUUGCCGCAGAGUCGCUGUUGGGAUACCACCCUUGCAGUAUUGGAUUUCUAACCAGCAGCCGUGAACCGGCUGGGGGACAAUGUCAGGUGGGGAGUUUGACUGGGGCGGUCGCCUCCGAAAGGGUAUCGGAGGCGCUCAAAGGUUCCCUCAGAAUGGUUGGAAACCAUUCGAAGAGUGCAAAGGCAGAAGGGAGCUUGACUGCGACACCGACGGGUGGAGCAGGUACGAAAGUAGGACUUAGUGAUCCGGUGGUAUAAAGUGGGAUUGCCAUCGCUCAACGGAUAAAAGCUACCCUGGGGAUAACAGGCUUAUCACUCCCAAGAGUUCACAUCGACGGAGUGGUUUGGCACCUCGAUGUCGGCUCAUCGCAUCCUGGGGCUGUAGCAGGUCCCAAGGGUUGGGCUGUUCGCCCAUUAAAGCGGUACGCGAGCUGGGUUCAGAACGUCGUGAGACAGUUCGGUCCCUAUCCGGCGCGGGCGGAGGAUAUUUGAGAGGAGCUGUCCUUAGUACGAGAGGACCGGGAUGGACGGACCACUGGUGUAUCUGUUGUCGACCAACGGCAUGGCAGAGUAGCCAAGUCUGGAAGGGAUAAACGCUGAAGGCAUCUAAGCGUGAAGCCCCCCUCAAGAUGAGAUAUCCCUCCUAUAAGGAGUAAGACCCCUUGAAGACUACAAGGUAGAUAGGGCAGAGGUGGAAGCAUGGCAACAUGUGGAGCUGACUGUUACUAAUAGGUCGAGGGCUUAAUCUG
This 2897-nucleotide ribosomal RNA is filed under the name human gut metagenome. RNAcentral's name for it is "bacterial LSU rRNA". It matches the Rfam family "Bacterial large subunit ribosomal RNA". The record is from RNAcentral.